CCUAUUAAGAAGAAAAGGUAAUAUGGUCUUCUGGUCUCCUUCAUAGUGUAUGCAGCUCAUUAAUGCAAGUAGAAUGGAAAGAAAACAAUUUACUCUUUUGAUUGACUUUACUGAAGUACACAGCAGAGGUCUUCGAUAUCAAUACAGUCCAUUUUUACUGUGAUUUGUGGUAUCCCCACCUGGCCUUCAUUCUCACUGGAGGGAUGUGCUCCCCAAGAGAAGGGUCUCUG
This 230-nucleotide long non-coding RNA is filed under the name Vulpes vulpes (red fox). RNAcentral describes it as "lncRNA (ENSVVUG00000028793.1)". The record is from RNAcentral. Lineage: Eukaryota; Metazoa; Chordata; Mammalia; Carnivora; Canidae.